GCUUUUUUAAUUUUCAUAGUGAAUACUCUGAUUUUUAUAGUUUACUCACAAAGAAUAAUUUACAGUUUGCUAAAUAUUAGCAGAUAUCAAAUUUAUUAUAGACUUUCUUAUAUGCCACAACACCAGUGAUUAUGUGGUAUAUAUUAAGUGGCAGAGGCAUUUCAGAAUCCACAAAAGCUAUCCAUAUCUAUUAUGGGGUUGGCCAACAAGUGAAAAAAUGGAAAUUGAGAUGUCAGGUAGUUCUAGAUUUCUCUGAAAAAAAAAAAAUUAGGUGUGGGCUUGGAUUCAGUCACAAAUCUAUGUGGAUGUCUAAAAUACUUCCAUUUGACAAGCUGGCUGACUGAUUAAACUUUCAUUAAAAAAUGCAUUUGAUUGUGUU
Molecule: long non-coding RNA, 379 nt
Filed under: Androctonus crassicauda
Lineage: Eukaryota; Metazoa; Arthropoda; Arachnida; Scorpiones; Buthidae
Source: RNAcentral